Unclassified non-coding RNA from Cercocebus atys (sooty mangabey), 113 nucleotides. It matches the Rfam family "Y RNA". From Rfam's summary of the family: Y RNAs are components of the Ro ribonucleoprotein particle (Ro RNP), in association with Ro60 and La proteins. The Y RNAs and Ro60 and La proteins are well conserved, but the function of the Ro RNP is not known. In humans the RNA component can be one of four small RNAs -- hY1, hY3, hY4 and hY5. The record is from Ensembl. Lineage: Eukaryota; Metazoa; Chordata; Mammalia; Primates; Cercopithecidae.
GGCUGGGCUGAAGGUAGCGAGUUGUCUUGAUUGAUGGCUCACAGUCAGUUACAGACGGAACUCCUUCCUCCACUCUUUCCCCAGCCCUCACUGCUGCACUUGACUAGUCUUGA